UGAUUAGCACAGAGAGCAUACAUCCU
RNAcentral lists this non-coding RNA (26 nucleotides) under Mus musculus (house mouse). Lineage: Eukaryota; Metazoa; Chordata; Mammalia; Rodentia; Muridae. The record is from RNAcentral.